CGGUGGCGGGUGCCUAUAAUGCAGUCGAGCGAAUGGAUUAAGAAGCUUGCUCCUUAUGAAGUUAGCGGCGGACGGGUGAGUAACACGUGGGUAACCUGCCCAUAAGACUGGGAUAACUCCGGGAAACCGGGGCUAAUACCGGAUAACAUUUUGAACCGCAUGGUUCGAAAUUGAAAGGCGGCUUCGGCUGUCACUUAUGGAUGGACCCGCGUCGCAUUAGCUAGUUGGUGAGGUAACGGCUCACCAAGGCAACGAUGCGUAGCCGACCUGAGAGGGUGAUCGGCCACACUGGGACUGAGACACGGCCCAGACUCCUACGGGAGGCAGCAGUAGGGAAUCUUCCGCAAUGGACGAAAGUCUGACGGAGCAACGCCGCGUGAGUGAUGAAGGCUUUCGGGUCGUAAAACUCUGUUGUUAGGGAAGAACAAGUGCUAGUUGAAUAAGCUGGCACCUUGACGGUACCUAACCAGAAAGCCACGGCUAACUACGUGCCAGCCGCCGCGGGUAAUUUCAAA
RNAcentral lists this ribosomal RNA (515 nucleotides) under Bacillus sp. (in: firmicutes). RNAcentral describes it as "bacterial SSU rRNA". It matches the Rfam family "Bacterial small subunit ribosomal RNA", at positions 34 to 529 of the family's 1533-position model. The record is from RNAcentral. Lineage: Bacteria; Bacillati; Bacillota; Bacilli; Caryophanales; Bacillaceae.